This 496-nucleotide ribosomal RNA is filed under the name uncultured bacterium. RNAcentral describes it as "partial 16S ribosomal RNA". It matches the Rfam family "Bacterial small subunit ribosomal RNA", at positions 28 to 507 of the family's 1533-position model. The record is from RNAcentral.
GAUGAACGCUGGCGGCGUGCCUAAUACAUGCAAGUCGAGCGAACGGACGAGAAGCUUGCUUCUCUGAUGUUAGCGGCGGACGGGUGAGUAACACGUGGAUAACCUACCUAUAAGACUGAGAUAACUUCGGGAAACCGGAGCUAAUACCGGAUGAUAUUUUGAACCGCAUGGUUCAAAAGUGAAAGACGGUCUUGCUGUCACUUAUAGAUGGAUCCGCGCUGCAUUAGCUAGUUGGUAAGGUAACGGCUUACCAAGGCAACGAUGCAUAGCCGACCUGAGAGGGUGAUCGGCCACACUGGAACUGAGACACGGUCCAGACUCCUACGGGAGGCAGCAGUAGGGAAUCUUCCGCAAUGGGCGAAAGCCUGACGGAGCACGCCGCGUGAGUGAUGAAGGUCUUCGGAUCGUAAAACUCUGUUAUUAGGGAAGAACAUAUGUGUAAGUAACUGUGCACAUCUUGACGGUACCUAAUCAGAAAGCCACGGCUAACUACGUG